UACGAUGAGAGAUAACUUGUCGGAAUAUAGGGGAACCAUCCUCUAAGGCUAAGUAUUAUAAAUUUAGCGAUAGUGAACAGUACUGUAAAGGAACAUGUGAAAAAGUAUAAUAUAAAAUUAAUGAAAUAGAUAUUGAAUUAGUAACUCUAUAAGCAGCCGGAAUUAAAAUUAAAACAAUGACGGCGUACCUUUUGCAUAAUGGGUCAGCAAGUUAAUAGGAAUAGCAAGGUUAAAAGCCUUAGCGAAAGCGACUGAACUAAUUUAGGCUGUUACUAAUUGAAAAUCUGGUUAAUAGCGGUCUUAACUAUGAGGAUCCUAAGGUAGCGAAAUCAAUUGGCCAUUAAAUGUGGUCCGGUAUCAAUAAUGUAACGAAGGUCUCACUGUCUCUACAACUUGCUCAGUGAAAUUGAAUUACCCGUGCAGAUGCGGGUUACCCCCAGUGGGACGGGAAGACCCUAUGCAGCUUUACUGUAGUUAGUUAAAAGGUAUAGCUAGAAAUCGAAUGGAGAUCAAUCAACCAGUGUAAAGGUUGCGCAGAGUGUAAUGGCGGUAAGCAUACCUAACUGACAGACUUAAAAGUCGAACAGAUACGUAAGUAGGGCAUAGUGACCCCUCGCUAUAAAAUGGAAUAGACGGGGAUCAUUUGAUAAAAGUUACGCUAGGGAUAA
Molecule: ribosomal RNA, 668 nt
Filed under: Porodaedalea mongolica
Lineage: Eukaryota; Fungi; Basidiomycota; Agaricomycetes; Hymenochaetales; Hymenochaetaceae
Description: large subunit ribosomal RNA
Rfam family: Bacterial large subunit ribosomal RNA
Source: RNAcentral